CUACGGGUCGCUCCAGUGGGGAAUAUUGCACAAUGGAGGAAACUCUGAUGCAGCAACGCCGCGUGGAGGAUGACACUUUUCGGAGCGUAAACUCCUUUUAUAUAGGAAGAAGAUGACGGUACUAUAUGAAUAAGCGCCGGCUAGCUCCGUGCCAGCAGCCGCGGUAAUACGGAGGGCGCAAGCGUUACUCGGAAUCACUGGGCGUAAAGAGCGUGUAGGCGGAUUAAAAAGUCAGAAGUGAAAUCCUAUAGCUUAACUAUAGAACUGCUUCUGAAACUCUUAAUCUAGAAUGUGGGAGAGGUAGAUGGAAUUUCUGGUGUAGGGGUAAAAUCCGUAGAGAUCAGAAGGAAUACCGAUUGCGAAGGCGAUCUACUAGAACAUUAUUGACGCUGAGACGCGAAAGCGUGGGGAGCAAACAGGAUUAGAUACCCGCGUAGUC
RNAcentral lists this ribosomal RNA (439 nucleotides) under uncultured bacterium. RNAcentral's name for it is "partial 16S ribosomal RNA". It matches the Rfam family "Bacterial small subunit ribosomal RNA", at positions 339 to 795 of the family's 1533-position model. The record is from RNAcentral.